Molecule: non-coding RNA, 1542 nt
Organism: Coffea arabica (coffee)
Lineage: Eukaryota; Viridiplantae; Streptophyta; Magnoliopsida; Gentianales; Rubiaceae
Source: RefSeq, a predicted model, not a curated record
ACAGCCGGUCACCAUCCCAAAGAAGAACAACUCAAGUUCUUCAAUUUUCUUCACCUAAACUUGCUCCAAAUCAUCACCAUUUCACUUCAAAUUUCAACCACACUUAGCUCAACACUUGGAGAUUUCAUCUAGCUAAGAAAAGGAGCUGCUGUCCGAGGUUUUUCUUGAGCCAAGGAGAGCCGAAAUUUCUGUCUUGAACAUCAAAGCGAGUGCUUAAGGAGACCUUCAAGAGGAUCUCGAGAGGGAACACCUAAAGGCUCGUUUACGCACUUACUCCCUUAUUUCGAUUGGAGUUUUAAAUUUGAAUGUUGAAGUACUUUCUACAAGAAAAUUUGCAUCAAUGGAUUCAUAACUAGAUCUUCUAGCUGGUAUCCAAGAAUGACUUGGAGUGGAAGGUCUUUCUCUAAAUGAAGAAAAUCAUAGCAAAACUUUUCCAUCAGGUUCUUCUAUUAUAUCUUCUGGAUUUGUUUAUUCUAUACUUCUUGGUGCUUGUGGAUUUUGAAUUAUAAAUUCACUAGAUAUAGUAAUUUCAUUCCAUUUUAAUCUUUUUGGAGUAUAGGUAGUAGGUCUGUCAGCAUCAACUUGUAAUAGUGUUGUUUCUUCUUUUAAAGUUGGUGUCAUAAUAAAUUUAGGAUUUAGCUGUGAGGAUAAUGGUCUGUAAUACAUUCUAUAAAUUACAGCAAAAUUCUUUGUAUGUUUUUCAAAUUCAUCUCCUCCUAAAUGAAUAUCUAAUAUGACUGAAUUCAAAACAUGUGGAUCUGUUAAAUCUACUGAAAAAUUUGGAGCACAAUUAAAAUAAAUGGGUCCAUUGCAUACAUUUGUUUGAAUCAUAGACAAAAGCAAUAUUUUAUAUCUUUUGAGUCUAGUGUCUCUUAAAGCUAAAUAUAUAGGUGCAUCCACUCUGUAGACACCAAAUUUGUGAUUUUUAACUUUAUUUGUUUAAUUAAUUUAAUUUUGCUUUAUUGGUUUCAAUUCUAGAGUUUCUAUUUUUAUUUUAUUUUAUUUUUUUCUUGUUCAUUUUAUUUUAUUAUCUAUUUAUUUUUGCCUUCAUACUAAUUUUCAAAAAAAAAAAAAAGAGGAAAAUGAAAAAUACAAAAAUACAAAACAAUGUGGAAUAGGUGGAAGUGUGCAUGUUGAACAAGUGUACAAAACAAUUAUGAGACAAGUGGUUAAGGAAUUUGAGGGACAAGUGUCCCUUUGUUUAAUUGACAACACAACAUUUAGGGGGACACUUGUUUAGCUUAGAAGGGUUUUGAAAAAAAAAAGAAAAAAGAGGCCACGGGUCGGAGGAGCAAAAAGGGACGAAUGAAAAUUGAAAGGGAGGCGGCGGACCGACGGAAAAACAGGGGAAGGAGCUUCGGCCAAAGCAAAGACAAGAGCUGCGGCUGAGAGGGAAAACAGAGGAAAAAAAACGAGCUAGAGAGAACUGAAAACAGAAAGGAAAAAGCUGUGAGAGGAUUGAGGGAGAAUCGUAAGUGACGGCAAAACAAAAAAAGAAAACCAGGAAGAAAGUGAUAGAGAGAGGCUCUCGGUUGGAAAAAA